CAUAGCUUCACUACUAUUGUGUUGGUCCAUUUCCAGAAUCUUAAGGAGUGUUCUUGUUUAGACGAUUACCUUGGAUGAUGCUUUUGCUUAAGGAGAGGCUCAAGAAGAUCAGGUAUAAACUCCUGCCCCUCUUGUUUGUUUUUCCUUCAUACUAUUUGGUGGUUGAUCGAUGAUUAGGUGCUAGGUUCAACUAGUUAUGAUGCUGUUAACUAACAUCUUGCACAUGCUUUAGUAGUAACUGGAUCUGGUUGUAGUCCUUUAGUUGGCUCGGAUUGCUAAUAAACCCUAGGAACUGUAAUGCCCACAAAUCUCAUUUCUGUGUUAGUAGGUUCUGGCUUUCAGAGUCAAUCUCUGCUACUCCCCUGCAUCAGAAUUGCCAAACAUACCUUUGUGAGGUCAUUUCACACGUGGUGACUAGUAGUUUUUUGUUCCCUGCUAAGAUUUUGGAGGAAUGGCUUGCCUUUCUGAUUCUGUUGGUAGAUUAAGGUUUGUAGAGUUAACCUUGUCUUCUUCCAUGAUUGAAACAAAUGGCCAAGCUCGCCUCUAUGAGGCUAUUUCACAUGCUAUGACUAGUCUAUUGUUCCUAGAUAAUUAUAACAUUCUUUGAGAAUUUUGCUUAUUGUAACAUUCUAUGACUAGUCUAUUAUUCAGGUUGUUGUGUUGCUUCGAGGUUAACCUUUGGCAACAUUCUUAGAGAAUUUUGUAAUGCCUCCUUUGGGGAGUUGAUACACUAAUGUGCAAGUUCUAUGCUAUGUGAGUUCUCUCUGUUGCUGCAAGCAUUGUCACAAUAUGUCAUGUGUAG
This 802-nucleotide long non-coding RNA is filed under the name Triticum aestivum (bread wheat). RNAcentral's name for it is "long non-coding RNA (TAES_LNC020594)". Lineage: Eukaryota; Viridiplantae; Streptophyta; Magnoliopsida; Poales; Poaceae. The record is from RNAcentral.